Long non-coding RNA from Dendrobium catenatum, 1032 nucleotides. RefSeq lists it as uncharacterized. The record is from RefSeq and is a predicted model, not a curated record. The transcript has 5 exons. NCBI's taxonomy places the organism in Eukaryota, Viridiplantae, Streptophyta, Magnoliopsida, Asparagales, Orchidaceae.
UCUCUAGAUCGGCAAAGGGGAGGGCUGAGAUGAAGUUCGGGUCUGGAGCUUUGGUUGGUGGGGAAUCGGAAAACAGGAGCUAGGGCAGAGUUUGGGGUCGGGUAGGGUAGCGUCUGCUACAGUCGGAUCGAGCGGCUUGGUGGAGAUCGGAGGAAGGAGCUCGGCUGCGAGUGAGGUAACUUUUUUCGGACGUUACAACAUUUUUAUCUGAAGCAACGGCGGUAGCUCGCUCGCUGUGAAGGCUUGAAGGAGCGCUACCAAAAGUUUUUCGGUUCUGAUUGGUACAAAGAUAGCUCACAUCCUUUAUGUCAAUCUUCCCACCGAUUUCAGCCAGAGCUGUGGACCUGUGGUUGGCAGAGGAAGCCAAAUAUGGUGAUGAUCCAAGCAUCAACAUCGUGCUCAAGAUUAAUGACCAACAUUCAAUACUUAGGCAGGAAAGAGAUGAAAGGAAAUAAUUAAUACAGAUCGAGGUGCCUUCAAUGCCGUUAAAGUUGAAAUAUUGAUGACUCCCCUCCUACGAUGUCAAUUAUGGAGCACAAAAAACAACUGAACAGAAACAAGGGCUUUAAUGGUUACACUUGACAACACCAUGGUGCUACUGAAAUACUCAAAAAGUGGAAAUCAAUAAUACUUACGUUGUUCUCAUGGAUUUGGCUAACAUUUGUAACUAUCGACAGCUUGCCGAGCAAGAAGAUGGAAAUUAUUAAGUUAUAGAGUUUAAUUAAUGUCCUAGGAAGAAAUAUAGGGAGAGAUUAUUAUGUGCGGAAUUCGGAUGGGAGAACUGUUAAGAUCCACUCACCGUGAGUACCGUGCACAGUGCAUUUUUAUUGUGCAUGAUUACAUAGUCCGGGCGGAGCUCCGGGCCGGUAUCCAUAUGUAAUAAUCCCUCUCUAUAUAGAGAGUGAGUGAAUGUCCUUGAGUUGAAACUCAUGUUGGGUAUAUAAUAUUCAUUAUUUGUUUUAUUAUAAGAUUUAUAUUAGCUGGGAUACAAGUCAUUAUGCUUAUAAACAUAAAUCUUAUUAUAAAACAAAA